UAGCUAGUUGGUGAGGUAACGGCUUACCAAGGCGACGAUCUGUAGCGGGUCUGAGAGGAUGAUCCGCCACACUGGAACUGAGACACGGUCCAGACUCCUACGGGAGGCAGCAGUGGGGAAUUUUGGACAAUGGGGGCAACCCUGAUCCAGCCAUGCCGCGUGAGUGAAGAAGGCCUUCGGGUUGUAAAGCUCUUUCGGCCGGGAAGAAAUCGCAUGGGCCAAUACCCUGUGUGGAUGACGGUACCGGAAUAAGAAGCACCGGCUAACUACGUGCCAGCAGCCGCGGUAAUACGUAGGGUGCGAGCGUUAAUCGGAAUUACUGGGCGUAAAGCGUGCGCAGGCGGUUUUGUAAGACAGGCGUGAAAUCCCCGGGCUCAACCUGGGAACUGCGUUUGUGACUGCAAGGCUAGAGUACGGCAGAGGGGGGUGGAAUUCCACGUGUAGCAGUGAAAUGCGUAGAGAUGUGGAGGAACACCUAUGGCGAAGGCAGCCCCCUGGGUCGAUACUGACGCUCAUGCACGAAAGCGUGGGUAGCAAACAGGAUUAGAUGCCCUGGUAGUCCACGCCCUAAACUAUGUCAACUAGGUGUUGGGUGGGUAAAACCAUUUAGUACCGUAGCUAACGCGUGAAGUUGACCGCCUGGGGAGUACGGCCGCAAGGUUAAAACUCAAAGGAAUUGACGGGGACCCGCACAAGCGGUGGAUGAUGUGGAUUAAUUCGAUGCAACGCGAAAAACCUUACCUACCCUUGACAUGCCAGGAACUUGCCAGAGAUGGCUUGGUGCCCGAAAGGGAGCCUGGACACAGGUGCUGCAUGGCUGUCGUCAGCUCGUGUCGUGAGAUGUUGGGUUAAGUCCCGCAACGAGCGCAACCCUUGUCGUUAAUUGCCAUCAUUUAGUUGGGCACUUUAGCGAGACUGCCGGUGACAAACCGGAGGAAGGUGGGGAUGACGUCAAGUCCUCAUGGCCCUUAUGGGUAGGGCUUCACACGUCAUACAAUGGUCGGUACAAAGGGUCGCCAAGCCGCGAGGUGGAGCCAAUCCCAGAAAGCCGAUCGUAGUCCGGAUUGCAGGCUGCAACUCGCCUGCAUGAAGUCGGAAUCGCUAGUAAUCGUGGAUCAGCAUGUCACGGUGAAUACGUUCCCGGGUCUUGUACACACCGCCCGUCACACCAUGGGAGCGGGUUCCGCCAGAAGUAGGUAGCCUAACCGCAAGGAGGGCGCUUACCACGGCGGGGUUCGUGACUGGGGUGAAGUCGAACAAGGUAGCCGUAGGGGAACCUGCGGCUG
RNAcentral lists this ribosomal RNA (1286 nucleotides) under metagenome. RNAcentral's name for it is "bacterial SSU rRNA". It matches the Rfam family "Bacterial small subunit ribosomal RNA", at positions 242 to 1520 of the family's 1533-position model. The record is from RNAcentral.